This 274-nucleotide ribosomal RNA is filed under the name uncultured bacterium. RNAcentral describes it as "partial 16S ribosomal RNA". It matches the Rfam family "Bacterial small subunit ribosomal RNA", at positions 523 to 796 of the family's 1533-position model. The record is from RNAcentral.
AUACGGAGGGUGCAAGCGUUACUCGGAAUCACUGGGCGUAAAGCGCGCGCAGGCGGUCUUUUAAGUUGGAUGUGAAAGCCUACAGCUCAACUGUAGAACUGCAUCCAAAACUAUUAGACUAGAGUCUGGGAGGGGAAGAUGGAAUUAGUUGUGUAGGGGUAAAAUCCGUAGAGAUAACUAGGAAUACCAAAAGCGAAGGCGAUCUUCUGGAACAGUACUGACGCUGAGGCGCGAAAGCGUGGGGAGCAAACAGGAUUAGAAACCCUAGUAGUCC